RNAcentral lists this ribosomal RNA (565 nucleotides) under uncultured archaeon. RNAcentral describes it as "bacterial SSU rRNA". It matches the Rfam family "Archaeal small subunit ribosomal RNA", at positions 312 to 879 of the family's 1478-position model. The record is from RNAcentral.
CGCGAUUCGCCCUUCGGGGUGCAGCAGGCGCGAAACCUUUGCAAUACACGAAAGUGUGACAGGGUCAUCCCGAGUGCCGACCGCUGAGGUUGGCUUUUACCCAGUCUAGAAAGCUGGGGGAAUAAGGAGAGGGCAAGUCUGGUGUCGGCCGCCGCGGUAAUACCAGCUCUCCGAGUGGUGUGGACGUUUAUUGGGCCUAAAGCAUCCGUAGCUGGCUGAACAAGUCCCCUGUUAAACCCACCGAUUUAAUCGUUGGCUUGCGGGGGAUACUGCUCGGCUAGGGGACGAGAGAGGCAGACGGUAUUCCCGGGGUAGGGGUGAAAUCCUAUAAUCCCGAGAAGACCACCAGUGGCGAAGGCUGUCUGCUAGAACGCGCCCGACGGUGAGGGAUGAAAGCUGGGGGAGCGAACCGGAUUAGAUACCCGGGUAGUCCCAGCUGUAAACGAUGCAGACUAGGUGUUUGGACGGCCACGUGCCGUUCUAGUGCCGCAGGGAAGCUGUUAAGUCUGCCGCCUGGGGAGUACGAUCGCAAGAUUGAAACUUAAAGGAAUUGGCGGGGGAGCAC